RNAcentral lists this ribosomal RNA (253 nucleotides) under uncultured bacterium. RNAcentral describes it as "partial 16S ribosomal RNA". It matches the Rfam family "Bacterial small subunit ribosomal RNA", at positions 524 to 776 of the family's 1533-position model. The record is from RNAcentral.
GACAGAGGGGGCAAGCGUUGCUCGGAAUUACUGGGCGUAAAGGGCGCGUAGGCGGGAUGGCAAGUCGGUCGUGAAAUCCCUCGGCUCAACCGAGGAACGUCGAUCGAUACUGCUGUUCUUGAGGAUUGCAGAGGAGACUGGAAUUCCCGGUGUAGCGGUGAAAUGUGUAGAGAUCGGGAGGAACACCAGUGGCGAAGGCGACUACCUGGCCCAUUCUUGACGCUGAGGCGCGAAAGCUAGGGGAGCGAACGGG